Molecule: unclassified non-coding RNA, 291 nt
Organism: Callithrix jacchus (white-tufted-ear marmoset)
Lineage: Eukaryota; Metazoa; Chordata; Mammalia; Primates; Cebidae
Rfam family: Metazoan signal recognition particle RNA
About the family: The signal recognition particle (SRP) is a universally conserved ribonucleoprotein. It is involved in the co-translational targeting of proteins to membranes. The eukaryotic SRP consists of a 300-nucleotide 7S RNA and six proteins: SRPs 72, 68, 54, 19, 14, and 9.
Source: Ensembl
GGUGGCACGUGCCUGUAGUCCCAGCUACUCGGGAGGCUGAGGUGGGAGGAUCACUUGAGCCCAGGAGUUCUGGGCUCUAGUGCGCUAUGCCGACUGGGUGUCCACACUAAGUUCGCCAUCAAUAUGGUGACCUCCCGGGAGCGGGGGACCACCAGGUUGCCUAAGGAGGGGUGAACCGGCCCAGGCUGGAAACGGAGCAGGUCAAAACUCCCAUGCUGAUCAGUAGUGGGAUCGUACCUGUGACUAGCCACUGCACUCCAGCCUGGGCAACAUACUGAGAACCCAACUUUA